Molecule: ribosomal RNA, 245 nt
Filed under: uncultured bacterium
Lineage: Bacteria
Description: partial 16S ribosomal RNA
Rfam family: Bacterial small subunit ribosomal RNA
Source: RNAcentral
UAUGGAGCAAGCGUUAUCCGGAUUUACUGGGUGUAAAGGGAGCGCAGGCGGCUUUGCAAGUCUGAUGUGAAAGGCCGGGGCUCAACCCCGGGACUGCAUUGGAAACUGUAAAGCUGGAGUGCCGGAGAGGUAAGCGGAAUUCCUAGUGUAGCGGUGAAAUGCGUAGAUAUUAGGAGGAACACCAGUGGCGAAGGCGGCUUACUGGACGGCAACUGACGCUGAGGCUCGAAAGCGUGGGGAGCAAA